GGGUUUUUUUUGGGUAUUAAAAAAAUUAAACUUGAAAUGCCAACAUGCGUCAUCUGAUUGGAGGGAAGUGAAGUGGGCCAAUUUCAUGAAAAAAAAAAAAGUUAUGCAUUUUGAUUCACAUUUGAAGUCUGACUACCAACUUCCUUUGGUGCCACAAAUAUUUCCUACUGGAUGGCUAAUACAUUUAUUAUCAUAUUAUCUGGAUUAAAAUUGUUUCGGUAUGGUGAAAGGAGGGAGACGGUGAUAGUUAUUCUGGUUUUGAUAGUUGAUAAACUGGAAAUUCCAAAAUAUUCAAUUUUUUUUUUAAGCUUUUGUUAGUAUUGUGAUGAGUGCAAUCAAUUCUGAACAAUUCACAAUAAAAAUAGUCAAUAAAAUUUUGAAUUCUGGGAUUUGCCACUGGUAGUACAAUAUUGAUUUUCUGGAAUUCUCCACAAUGCUAAAAUGUCAAUCACUAGAAUUUUUGUCUGAUUGGACAAAAAUGAAGUGGGCUAGGUUUAUGUUAAUCACUUUAAUUCAUCUGGCUAAAUCAGGUGAAGUCAUGAACAGACAUAUUUGUAACCUGGAAAUUCCAAAUUUUUCAUUUUUUUUUUUUUGGAUAGCUACUAUCAAUUACUGAGUUCUGGAAUCAGAAUAUUGUCCGACUGACUGGAGAAAACUGAGGUCCAAUUUACAUUAGUCAUCUGGAAAGAAUUGUUGGCAUAUGGUGUUUACAACAAGUGAUUCUACUAAUUUUGUGUUCCUGCCGACUCAUUCGAUUUAUUGUGCUUGUAUUCUUUGGGUUUGUUGUCUGAUUGGAGGACAGUGAUAUGGCUGGGUUAUGUUAAUCACUUGCUUAAUCAACAUGGCUAAAUAUGCUACUAUCAAUUAUUGAGUUCUGGAAUCAGAAUAUUGUCGGACUGACUGGAGAAAACUGAGGUCCAAUUUACAUUAGUCAUCUGGAAAGAAUUGUUGGCAUAUGGUGUUUACAACACUCUGGAGUUGGAACUUGACCGAAGUCCGUUUUGGUAUACCAAAUAUACCUCUAUUGGAUGGUCGCCAAUUGAUACAGUCCUAUAGUCGUCGAAUUCUAAAGUCGCCGAAUGAUGUAUAGCUUCAGUCGCCGAAUGCUAAAGUGGCCGAAUGAUGUAGUCGCCAAAUGCUAGGGUCGCCGCCGAAUGAAAAAGUCGGCGCCGCAUAACAAAUGCGCCG
Anneissia japonica is the source of this 1188-nucleotide long non-coding RNA. RefSeq lists it as uncharacterized. The transcript is spliced from 5 exons. NCBI's taxonomy places the organism in Eukaryota, Metazoa, Echinodermata, Crinoidea, Comatulida, Comatulidae. The record is from RefSeq and is a predicted model, not a curated record.